This 470-nucleotide ribosomal RNA is filed under the name uncultured organism. Its description in RNAcentral is "partial 16S ribosomal RNA". It matches the Rfam family "Bacterial small subunit ribosomal RNA", at positions 335 to 797 of the family's 1533-position model. The record is from RNAcentral.
ACUCCUGCGGGAGGCAGCAGUGGGGAAUUUUGGACAAUGGGCGAAAGCCUGAUCCAGCCAUGCCGCGUGCAGGAUGAAGGCCUUCGGGUUGUAAACUGCUUUUGUACGGAACGAAACGGCCUUUUCUAAUAAAGAGGGCUAAUGACGGUACCGUAAGAAUAAGCACCGGCUAACUACGUGCCAGCAGCCGCGGUAAUACGUAGGGUGCAAGCGUUAAUCGGAAUUACUGGGCGUAAAGCGUGCGCAGGCGGUUAUGUAAGACAGUUGUGAAAUCCCCGGGCUCAACCUGGGAACUGCAUCUGUGACUGCAUAGCUAGAGUACGGUAGAGGGGGAUGGAAUUCCGCGUGUAGCAGUGAAAUGCGUAGAUAUGCGGAGGAACACCGAUGGCGAAGGCAAUCCCCUGGACCUGUACUGACGCUCAUGCACGAAAGCGUGAGGAGCAAACAGGAUUAGAUACCCCGGUAGUCCC